CCGUGGUUGCGAACACUUUUUUUUGCGAAUUAGUUUUGAACGAGCUCUGCCCCGUGUGUCACCGGAUCAGUGGCCUCGGAUUGUUGGGGGCAUGUGACAAGAUCAUAGCAGGCCCCACACGAAGCUAGAACGAGAGAGAGAGAGAGCGAACGAAAGAGAGUUGGACGCGAGUUCACACUUAACAACCAAGCAAAGUUGACUCGACGGUCGCGCGAUAAGGUCCGUGAAUGUGUGUAGUGUGGUGCAGCAGCAGCAGCAGCAGCCGCCUUAGCAUCCGUAGCAGCCGUUGGAAACAGAACAGCCGACGACGACGACGACGACGGCGACAACGGUUUGCUGCGAAGCGCGCGCGUGACUGUUUUGCGUUGAGAGACAGACACAGACACCACAGAACAAGGCGGGGGACCGACGACCGAGAUCGGCCUUAGAGACAGCGGCAGCAGCCAGCCAGUCAGCCAGUGUCAUCCGGUUUUGCGUGUGGUGUGGCUGUUCCGAGCCGAGGUCGACGACAGUGGUGCCGUCGGAUGGUGUGUGGAUUUCCAGCAGUUUCCAUCAAGAAGACAGGGACAGAGUUACGUGUUCAAAUAAGAUUCUUUCCCGCCGGAGGUGAUUCCUUCUGGUCCAACCAAGUGUCCGAUCUCCGCUGGCCGCGGAUUGUUAAUGUGCCUCCGGUGUCCGUGCGUGUCCCCGCGUAUGUGUGGUAGUGUGUGCUGGUGUGUAUGUGCCGCCGGUUGAAUGAACCGCCUGGCGCCGCCUUCGUCUGGGACUGUGUGACGUGGGUUUUGCGGUUUUUGUCUUUUCGGAGCCCCCGAACAAUCUGCCGAAUGUUAUCAAAAAUAGAAUCCUUUUUUACCGGCGGACAAUAAUGAGAGCGAAGCGCUCGCGCUCGACAACUGCUAUCAUCGCGGAUUGGACUUGGAGUUCGAAGCGCCAGAAGAGGAGGAACCACGGGAUCGAGCAAUGCACCUGCGUCGGAGAAUAUGCGCGCAUGAUGACAUCGCCCACGGUAGACUGCAUCAUCCAAGAAGGCGUCACCGUUGCCAUCGCUAGGGGUCAGUGAUCGGCCUGCUGCUUUGCAAACUGUGGCCCGCAUACAACAAACAGAAUGAAGGAUGACCUCAGGCGCGGCCCAACAACUGCUCCACCGGAAACUGGAACCGGAAUCGCCCGCACCAGCUGACGGAGAGAACAGAGUCCAGGAGAGGAGGAGACCGUCGCGUUCGCAACAAAGCGCGCAUGAACCUUGGCGCACGGGGUCAACCGUCUAGACGUGUGUCGCGCUCACUGUGGACCACCCUGCCUUCCCCCUCUUCGCACUCUAACCAGCAGGAGGGCGACAGCAAUGGACAGACGACGGCGCCGGGUGUAGGAGGAGAAAGACAGUGCUUUGUCCCACCGCACCCUUGUGUGUGGGUUGCGUGCGUGCCCAGUCAUUGGUCUCGUUGUGGCCGAACAAGAAGAUGAUGAUGAUGAUGAGGAACAUUCAUACCGUGUAAUGGCGCCGUAUCAAUGGAAGAUGAGAACGCACCCCGAACCGAAGCAAUAAACGAAUUGGUUGAAGGACGACGGACGGACGGUUUCCAAGAAAACGGAACAUUUGCGCCAGAGCGCCAGAGCGCCAGAGGUGAACGCGACGCGAUCCGGCUGCCGCCACCGGUUUUAUGACCAUCAUAUGGUAUGUGGUGUGCGAGUAAAUGCUGUAUCCUGUCUCCGUCCCGAGGUCUCUGCUGGUUUGCUUUUGCUGUCAUCUUCCUUAGCUCCCGACGACGGUCUGCGCCUGGUUGAGUGUCUUUUCUUUUUAGAUCCUUUCCUGGUGCAGAUUCUGCUCAUUCGACAAGAAAUGAAACAUUUGAGUAUUAAGAGAGAGCGAGAGAUGGAAAACGGAUAUGGUUUGUCGCUGCGCGCGAGAUCGAGUCAACGAAGGCACCCCUAGCAACAGAUCGCAGUAGCCAAGUGAAACACACUGCUUGUUCCUUCUCAGCCGGAAGAAGGAUGGUCUGGUUCUCCGCUCCACGCUCUAACCUUCGCUUUAAGCAAACGGUCCCCCAUUCCGGUCCGGUUCCCGGGGGUUUGCGACGAUCAUCAGCAGCUUCUGGGUGGAAAAUUCCACUUUCAUUCCACCGUGAUUGGCCCUGUUGGCGUGUGGUGUAGCACUUCUUCAGCGUGACUUACUUAUCGACCAGCUAGGAAUUACCACGAAAGCGGCACGUGCGGGGAAGUGCUUUAUCUUUUUGCGGCAAACAUUUCGUCAUCCACGUCAUCGUGGGACGUCGACGCCCCAGUACGUGCGUACAUGCUGACAUCAAUCGGCCGUUCGGGGAUCGGCUGGCGACUGCACGGGUAUCGGCCGCUGUGUCUGGGGCUGAUAAGAUGCUCUAUUCGGUGCCAUUAUUAAGACACCACUCCCCCAGGUACGCUGUGUAGCAUGAUCACAACCCUUUUCGGCGAGGACAACAGUACCUGUGGCAGGUUACAGUUGGUGUGCGGAGUGUCCACUUUUCGCUCUCUCUCUCUCUCUUUCCCAUUAUGGAAUGCGAUUGGAAUGUGCGGGGCCGGAUCGCAAAAGUCAAUGGACUCACGGUGCGACGAUCGGCCUGUUUUGCUGCGUGUGCUGCGCAGUUUUUCUUUGCUUAAAUAAACAAACAGACACAUACACGGAGUGGCCUGGCCACGGUAGAAUGGAAGAAUCGGCCACCACCGCGGUGGCUGUCAAGAAGUCAAACAACGGGACGCGCACCGCAACGACCUGCUGCUGCUGCUGCUGCUGGUGCUGUUGACGUCAACGGCCAGCGCGAGUGUAUGAUGAUGUGUGCUUUGCCCUCCCUCCUGGCCACUCGUUCUGUGCAUCCGGUGACGUCAUGUCAGGGCGAUCAUUGAUCACCAACCCAGAAGAGGGUACAUCAGAGAAGAACCUCGUUUCCUCGUUGCCCGUUUAUCGCGUUGCAUCGCCAAAUCACGGUACGAUUGCUCAUGCAGGGAUCAAUCGUCGACUGAGAGUGUUUUCUUCGAGACCGGCUGAAUCAUCGCAAUCGCAAAUAGAGGUAAUGCUGACCAUUGCACAAACUUCCGCCGGACCACUCUGGCCGAGGAUGAUGAAUGUGCUUAUCAGCGUUGGCAGGGCUGGGGAAAAAUAAGAAGAAAUAGAAGAAGGUCGUUGUUAGUCAUCUUCUGCCCUGGA
Anopheles aquasalis is the source of this 3178-nucleotide long non-coding RNA. RefSeq lists it as uncharacterized. NCBI's taxonomy places the organism in Eukaryota, Metazoa, Arthropoda, Insecta, Diptera, Culicidae. The record is from RefSeq and is a predicted model, not a curated record.